UUAAAGAGUUCUAUAACUCCCAAACCCAUGUGAACAUACCUAACGUUGCCUCGGCAGGUCGCACCUACCUUGUAGCACCCUACCCUGUAGGGCCUACCCGGGAGGUGCGGGUAAGCCUGCCGGCGGCCCACCAAACUCUGUUUGAUAUUGAAUUCUGAACCUAUAACUAAAUAAGUUAAAACUUUCAACAACGGAUCUCUUGGUUCUGGCAUCGAUGAAGAACGCAGCGAAAUGCGAUAAGUAAUGUGAAUUGCAGAAUUCAGUGAAUCAUCGAAUCUUUGAACGCAUAUUGCGCCCAUUAGUAUUCUAGUGGGCAGGACCGUUCGAGCGUCAUUUCAACCCUUAAGCCUUUGUUGCUUAGUGUUGGGAGCCUACGGCAACGUAGCUCCUCAAAGUUAGUGGCGGAGUUGGUUCACACUCUAGACGUAGUAAUUUUUUAUCUCGCCUAUUAGUUGGACUAAUCCCCUGCCGUAAAACCCCCAAUUUAUCAAGGUUGACCUCGAAUCGGUUCAGACAAACUCGCUAAAUUGA
Molecule: ribosomal RNA, 531 nt
Filed under: fungal endophyte
Lineage: Eukaryota; Fungi
Description: eukaryotic LSU rRNA
Rfam family: 5.8S ribosomal RNA (bases 180-333)
Source: RNAcentral